GCCGGAGUGGCGGAAUUGGCAGACGCGGUGGAUUCAAAAUCCACUUGGGUAAAACCAGUGCGGGUUCGAGUCCCGCCUCCGGCA
This 84-nucleotide transfer RNA is filed under the name Phycisphaerae bacterium. Its description in RNAcentral is "tRNA-Leu". It matches the Rfam family "tRNA". From Rfam's summary of the family: Transfer RNA (tRNA) molecules are approximately 80 nucleotides in length. The record is from RNAcentral. RNAcentral also lists the same sequence under 1 other name. Lineage: Bacteria; Pseudomonadati; Planctomycetota; Phycisphaerae.